UACGUAGGGUGCAAGCGUUGUCCGGAAUUAUUGGGCGUAAAGAGCUCGUAGGCGGUUUGUCGCGUCUGCUGUGAAAACUCGGGGCUCAACCCCGAGCGUGCACCCGAUACUGCCGGGCUUGAGGCAGGUAGGGGAGAUCGGAAUUCCUGGUGUAGCGGUGAAAUGCGCAGAUAUCAGGAGGAACACCGGUGGCGAAGGCGGAUCUCUGGGCCUGUCCUGACGCUGAGGCGCGAAAGCUAGGGGAGCGAACAGG
Molecule: ribosomal RNA, 253 nt
Filed under: uncultured bacterium
Lineage: Bacteria
Description: partial 16S ribosomal RNA
Rfam family: Bacterial small subunit ribosomal RNA
Source: RNAcentral